UGGGGAAUAUUGGACAAUGGGGGAAACCCUGAUCCAGCAAUGCCGCGUGGGUGAUGAAGGUCUUCGGAUUGUAAAGCCCUUUUGGCGGGGACGAUGAUGACGGUACCCGCAGAAUAAGCUCCGGCUAACUUCGUGCCAGCAGCCGCGGUAAUACGAAGGGAGCAAGCGUUGUUCGGAUUUACUGGGCGUAAAGGGUGCGUAGGUGGCUAGGUAAGUUGGAUGUGAAAGCCCUGGGCUUAACUCAGGAAUUGCAUUCAAAACUCUCUAGCUAGAGUAUGGAAGAGGAUGGUGGAAUUCCCAGUGUAGAGGUGAAAUUCGUAGAUAUUGGGAAGAACACCCGUGGCGAAGGCGGCCAUCUGGUCCAUUACUGACACUGAGGCACGAAAGCGUGGGGAGCAAA
This 400-nucleotide ribosomal RNA is filed under the name uncultured bacterium. RNAcentral's name for it is "bacterial SSU rRNA". It matches the Rfam family "Bacterial small subunit ribosomal RNA", at positions 355 to 772 of the family's 1533-position model. The record is from RNAcentral.